GGUGACAUUAUCAGAAAUCACCGCACUGCCCUUAUUCUGCUCCCACCAAAAUCAAUUGGUUUUUCAUUUGGUUGGAAACAACCAAGGAAAAUUCUGGGUGCUCCUGAAAAAUCACAUCUGCAACAUCUCCGGGGGUUUCCAAGAAUUUAUCCGUGCAUCAGAGACUUGGUUUGGUUUGAAACCUUCAAGCAAAGUGAAAUCCUUCUAGUGGAAGGUUCCCUGCCCGUGGUGGAGGAACAAUGAAAAUGGGAACAGUGACUGGAUGUGGAAAAACAACCUCCUUUAGGAGCCGUGGAAUGCAGAUCCAUGACUGCUUAGGACAUGCAAAGGGCGGUGAAGGUGGAAUCUGCCAAGGCCUUGGAGGAGCAAAAGCUGCAGGGUUGGUGACCAAUUUCCAAAGAGAGAAUUUCCUGUAAGACCAGAGCUACUUUAACUUCCUUUUAACCUGUGCCUUCUCAAAUGGCCCCUGACAAGUCUGCAACUGUGCCUGUAAAUAAAACAUGAACCACCUGA
This is a long non-coding RNA of Passer domesticus (house sparrow), 513 nucleotides long. RefSeq lists it as uncharacterized. Lineage: Eukaryota; Metazoa; Chordata; Aves; Passeriformes; Passeridae. The transcript is spliced from 3 exons. The record is from RefSeq and is a predicted model, not a curated record.